This 80-nucleotide long non-coding RNA is filed under the name Oryzias sinensis (Chinese medaka). RNAcentral's name for it is "lncRNA (ENSOSIG00000016316.1)". The record is from RNAcentral. Lineage: Eukaryota; Metazoa; Chordata; Actinopteri; Beloniformes; Adrianichthyidae.
AGAUGCUCUAAUGUAAAUUUCCCUUGGAAAUGUGUUUAGGGUGACAGAGGAGAGAGAGGAACACCUGGAGAAAAGGGGGA